UACAUGUGGGGCAAGCGUUGUUCGGAAUUACUGGGCAUAAAGGGUGCGUAGGCGGUUUGUUAGGUCACUGGUGAAAGUUUUCGGCCCAACCGGAAAAUUGCCUGUGAUACCGGCGAACUUGAGUGCGUGAGGGGUGGGGGGAACGAGCAGUGUAGCGGUGAAAUGCGUAGAUAUCAGGAGGAACACCGGUGGUGUAGACGGCUUUCUGGACCGUAACUGACGCUGAGACACGAAAGCGUGGGUAGCAAACAGG
This 253-nucleotide ribosomal RNA is filed under the name uncultured bacterium. Its description in RNAcentral is "partial 16S ribosomal RNA". It matches the Rfam family "Bacterial small subunit ribosomal RNA", at positions 524 to 776 of the family's 1533-position model. The record is from RNAcentral.